GAUGAACGCUGGCGGCGUGCCUAAUACAUGCAAGUUGAGCGCUGAAGGUUGGUACUUGUACCGACUGGAUGAGCAGCGAACGGGUGAGUAACGCGUGGGGAAUCUGCCUUUGAGCGGGGGACAACAUUUGGAAACGAAUGCUAAUACCGCAUAAAAACUUUAAACACAAGUUUUAAGUUUGAAAGAUGCAAUUGCAUCACUCAAAGAUGAUCCCGCGUUGUAUUAGCUAGUUGGUGAGGUAAAGGCUCACCAAGGCGAUGAUACAUAGCCGACCUGAGAGGGUGAUCGGCCACAUUGGGACUGAGACACGGCCCAAACUCCUACGGGAGGCAGCAGUAGGGAAUCUUCGGCAAUGGACGAAAGUCUGACCGAGCAACGCCGCGGGAGUGAAGAAGGUUUUCGGAUCGUAAAACUCUGUUGGUAGAGAAGAACGUUGGUGAGAGUGGAAAGCUCAUCAAGUGACGGUAACUACCCAGAAAGGGACGGCUAACUACGUG
Molecule: ribosomal RNA, 497 nt
Filed under: uncultured bacterium
Lineage: Bacteria
Description: partial 16S ribosomal RNA
Rfam family: Bacterial small subunit ribosomal RNA
Source: RNAcentral